This 586-nucleotide ribosomal RNA is filed under the name uncultured bacterium. RNAcentral's name for it is "partial 16S ribosomal RNA". It matches the Rfam family "Bacterial small subunit ribosomal RNA", at positions 355 to 937 of the family's 1533-position model. The record is from RNAcentral.
UGGGGAAUAUUGCACAAUGGGCGCAAGCCUGAUGCAGCCAUGCCGCGUGUGUGAAGAAGGCCUUCGGGUUGUAAAGCACUUUCAGCGAGGAGGAAGGUGGUGAGCUUAAUACGCUCAUCAAUUGACGUUACUCGCAGAAGAAGCACCGGCUAACUCCGUGCCAGCAGCCGCGGUAAUACGGAGGGUGCAAGCGUUAAUCGGAAUUACUGGGCGUAAAGCGCACGCAGGCGGUUUGUUAAGUCAGAUGUGAAAUCCCCGGGCUCAACCUGGGAACUGCAUUUGAAACUGGCAAGCUAGAGUCUCGUAGAGGGGGGUAGAAUUCCAGGUGUAGCGGUGAAAUGCGUAGAGAUCUGGAGGAAUACCGGUGGCGAAGGCGGCCCCCUGGACGAAGACUGACGCUCAUGUGCGAAAGCGUGGGGAGCAAAACAGGAUUAGAUACCCUGGUAGUCCACGCUGUAAACGAUGUCGAUUUGGAGGUUGUGCCCUUGAGGCGUGGCUUCCGGAGCUAACGCGUUAAAUCGACCGCCUGGGGAGUACGGCCGCAAGGUUAAAACUUAAAGGAAUUGACGGGGUCAUAGCUGUUUCC